CCUACGGGUUGCACCAGUGGGGAAUAUUGGACAAUGGGCGAAAGCCUGAUCCAGCAAUGCCGCGUGAGUGAUGAAGGCCUUGGGGUUGUAAAGCUCUUUUACCAGGGAUGAUAAUGACAGUACCUGGAGAAUAAGCUCCGGCUAACUCCGUGCCAGCAGCCGCGGUAAUACGGAGGGAGCUAGCGUUGUUCGGAAUUACUGGGCGUAAAGCGCACGUAGGCGGCGAUUCAAGUCAGAGGUGAAAGCCCGGGGCUCAACCCCGGAACUGCCUUUGAAACUAGAUUGCUAGAAUCCUGGAGAGGUUAGUGGAAUUCCGAGUGUAGAGGUGAAAUUCGUAGAUAUUCGGAAGAACACCAGUGGCGAAGGCGACUAACUGGACAGGUAUUGACGCUCAGGUGCGAAAGCGUGGGGAGCAAACAGGAUUAGAUACCCCUGUAGUC
RNAcentral lists this ribosomal RNA (440 nucleotides) under uncultured bacterium. RNAcentral's name for it is "bacterial SSU rRNA". It matches the Rfam family "Bacterial small subunit ribosomal RNA", at positions 338 to 795 of the family's 1533-position model. The record is from RNAcentral.